CCUACGUGAGGCAGCAGUGAGGAAUAUUGGUCAAUGGGCGCGAGCCUGAACCAGCCAAGUAGCGUGAAGGAUGACUGCCCUACGGGUUGUAAACUUCUUUUAUAAAGGAAUAAAGUGAGGCACGUGUGCCUUUUUGUAUGUACUUUAUGAAUAAGGAUCGGCUAACUCCGUGCCAGCAGCCGCGGUAAUACGGAGGAUCCGAGCGUUAUCCGGAUUUAUUGGGUUUAAAGGGAGCGUAGAUGGGUUGUUAAGUCAGUUGUGAAAGUUUGCGGCUCAACCGUAAAAUUGCAAUUGAUACUGGCAGUCUUGAGUACAGUUGAGGUAGGAGGAAUUCGUGGUGUAGCGGUGAAAUGCUUAGAUAUCACGAAGAACUCCUAUUGCGAAGGCAGCUUACUAAACUGCCACUGACAUUGAUGCUCGAAAGUGUGGGUAUCAAACAGGAUUAGAUACCCGAGUAGUC
RNAcentral lists this ribosomal RNA (460 nucleotides) under uncultured bacterium. RNAcentral's name for it is "partial 16S ribosomal RNA". It matches the Rfam family "Bacterial small subunit ribosomal RNA", at positions 338 to 795 of the family's 1533-position model. The record is from RNAcentral.